This 107-nucleotide small nucleolar RNA is filed under the name Amborella trichopoda. RNAcentral's name for it is "Small nucleolar RNA snoR97". It matches the Rfam family "Small nucleolar RNA snoR97". Lineage: Eukaryota; Viridiplantae; Streptophyta; Magnoliopsida; Amborellales; Amborellaceae. The record is from Rfam by way of RNAcentral.
CUAUCCUAAUGAGCAUAAAGGCUGAAAAACUCAAAAAAUCAAUGUGUUGUCAUCAGCUUUUUCCUUGCUUUUCAUGGGGAACAGAGUUAAACAACAACACAACAUCA